UACGAAGGGGGCUAGCGUUGCUCGGAAUCACUGGGCGUAAAGCGCACGUAGGCGGCUUGUUAAGUCAGGGGUGAAAUCCUGGAGCUCAACUCCAGAACUGCCUUUGAUACUGGCGAGCUUGAGUCCGGGAGAGGUGAGUGGAACUGCGAGUGUAGAGGUGAAAUUCGUAGAUAUUCGCAAGAACACCAGUGGCGAAGGCGGCUCACUGGCCCGGUACUGACGCUGAGGUGCGAAAGCUAGGGGAGCAAACAGG
RNAcentral lists this ribosomal RNA (253 nucleotides) under uncultured bacterium. RNAcentral's name for it is "partial 16S ribosomal RNA". It matches the Rfam family "Bacterial small subunit ribosomal RNA", at positions 524 to 776 of the family's 1533-position model. The record is from RNAcentral.